UAGUAUUCCAAAACGAAUUUUCUGUUGACCUUAAGAAAAUAAAUAAAUAAAUAAAAAGAAAUACCAUUAAAAUAUACUUGUUGGGGAGAGAGAGAGAGACAGAGAGAGAGAGAGAGAGAGAGAGAGAGGUUUAAGGAGGUUUAAGAUCAGCAGCCAUGGGAGACAUUCUGUCCGCGCCUUCACUAUCAAACCCUAGCUCCACCGCCAUCGCAUCCGCCACCUCCGCUAUGACUACUUCAAAUUCCUCACAACCCCCACAAUCGAAGUCUGAAACGGAACCCUCCAACCGGCCCAAAACCCCAGAAUCCGAAGCGCCUUUUCUAGAAACCCGAGAUCCACCAGCAGAAAACCAAGAAGAUCCAGCAGAAGAUGAGACCCUUUUGGGAAAAGCUUCAGAAGAUGAGGAAGGAGAAGGAGAGGAAGAGGAGGGUGAGUGCGGGUUUUGUUUGUUUAUGAAAGGAGGUGGGUGUAAAGACGCGUUUAUAGAAUGGGAGAAGUGUGUGGAGGAAGGAGAGAAGAACAAAGAGGAUAUCGUGGAGAAGUGUUUUCAGGCAACUGCUGCUCUGAAGAAGUGCAUGGAAGCGCAUUCUGAUUACUACGCACCUCUUUUGCAGGCUGAGAAGGCUGCUGAGGAGGAGGCCGUGAAGCAAUUGGAGGAGGAGAAAGAAAGGUUGAGUAACCAAGAUAGGGGCGUUGAAGAAUCGGAGAAGAAGGAGAAGGAAGAAGCUUCGGGUGGUUCUGAGAAAAAGGAGACGUCUUGAUUUUAUAGAGAUUUGUUGCUGUCUUGAUUAUACGGCUAUGAUUACUGAUUGGACACUUGAGAUUUAGGGCUUCGAGUUGUGCUGCUAUUUUGGCUCUGUGAAUUUGAGUUUUUUCUUCCGUGAUGUGGAAUUAUGAUAUGUUCUUGUGGAAUAAAAGGGGGAAUAGAGGAUGUUGUUUGUCGAGCCGUGUACUUUUGAAUGUUAGAAAUGCUUGUAUCCAGUAUGUUGUGCUGAUUGCUUAAGUCACUAUUGUUGCAAUAAAACAAUUUGAUUGCAAAUCUGGGGGUGUGUAGUUGG
This is a non-coding RNA of Sesamum indicum (sesame), 1058 nucleotides long. The record is from RefSeq and is a predicted model, not a curated record. NCBI's taxonomy places the organism in Eukaryota, Viridiplantae, Streptophyta, Magnoliopsida, Lamiales, Pedaliaceae.